GCUAGGCAAUUAGCUCGACCUUUAAAAUAAAUUUUUCUUAACUGAAAUGAACUUAACCUAAUCAAACAAACCAUUUUUACGCUUUAGUAGGGGCGACCGAAAGAGUUCAAUGAAGCUAUAUAAAUAGUACCGCGAGGGAACAUUGAAAGAAUAAUGAAACAAAUGAUAUAAGCGCAAAGAAGCAAAGAUUAAUUCUUGUCCUUUUGCAUCAUGAUUUAGUAAAUAGAACAAGCAAAAAGAAUUUCAGUUUAUUCCCCGAAACUAAAUGAGCUACCUCAAGUCAGUCUUUGCUAAAUAGGGCUAACCCGUCUCUGUGGCAAUAGGGUGGGGAGAACUUCAGGUAGUGGUGAAAGCCAAUCGAAUUUAGUGAUAGCUGGUUUUUUGGGAAAUGAAUAAAAGUUCAGCCUUAAGCUCUUCGUUAUGAGUUGAAAUUAAUGAACAAGUUUUUUGAGUUAAUUGUAAGGGGUACAGCUCUUAUAAUCAAGGACACAGCCUUAUUUGGAGGGUAAAGAUCACAUAAAGUAAUGAAUUGUAGAAGUGGGCCUAAAAGCAGCCAUCUAAAAAGAAAGCGUUAUUGCUCGAACAAGUUUUUUAAAAAAUACCGUUAACUAAUCUUCACCCCCUGGAUUUACCAAAAUAUCCCACCUAAAAUGGGAGAAAAAAUGCUAAAAUGAGUAACAAGAAAACCAGAUUUUCUCCUUACACAAGUAUAACGGAGCUAGGACUAUCCGCUCUAAAUUAACGAACUCAAUCUAAAGAGAGUAGUAUGACUUAAACCAAGAAAAGAUCAUUAACCAGUAUCGUUAACUCUACACUGAAGUGUUUAAAAGGAGGGUAAUAGGAAAGAGAAGGAACUCGGCAAACAAAAUUGACCUCGCCUGUUUACCAAAAACAUCGCCUCUUGCUAGAUAAAGUAUAAGAGGUACAGCCUGCCCGGUGACUAUAAGUUUAACGGCCGCGGUAUUCUGACCGUGCAAAGGUAGCGUAAUCACUCGCCCCUUAAAUGAGGGCUUGUAUGAAUGGCUAGACGAGGGUCUUACUGUCUCCUUUUUCCAACCUGUGAAAUUGAUUUACCCGUGCAGAAGCGGGUAUAGUAAUACAAGACGAGAAGACCCUUUGGAGCUUUAGGUAAAGAGUUACUCAUGUAAUUAAGGCUUACAAAUAUAUAAACAUAGUGAAAUUAUCAUCUUACCUUAGGUUGGGGCGACCGUGGAGAAAAACAGAUCCUCCAAAUGGAUUGAGCUUAUGCUUAAAACCCAGAAUUACAAUUCUAAGUCACAAAACAUUUGACCAAAAGAUCCAAUAAGUUGAUUAAUGAAAAAAGUUACCCUAGGGAUAACAGCGCAAUCUCCUUUGAAAGUUCCUAUCGACAAGGGGGUUUACGACCUCGAUGUUGGAUCAGGACAUCCUGAUGGUGCAGCCGCUAUUAAGGGUUCGUUUGUUCAACGAUUAACAGUCCUACGUGAUCUGAGUUCAGACCGGAGUAAUCCAGGUCAGAUUCUAUCUGUACAGUCCCUUUUCCUUGGUACGAAAGGAUUAGGAAAAGGAGGCCUAUGUUUUAAGCACGCCUCAUCUUUCACCUUUGAAUCGAAAUGAAAAGGAUGAAGAGAAACAUUUUAGAUCUCUAGAUAAGAGAGAA
Molecule: ribosomal RNA, 1639 nt
Filed under: Danionella mirifica
Lineage: Eukaryota; Metazoa; Chordata; Actinopteri; Cypriniformes; Danionidae
Description: 16S rRNA
Rfam family: Bacterial large subunit ribosomal RNA
Source: RNAcentral